RNAcentral lists this ribosomal RNA (372 nucleotides) under uncultured organism. Its description in RNAcentral is "bacterial SSU rRNA". It matches the Rfam family "Bacterial small subunit ribosomal RNA", at positions 526 to 896 of the family's 1533-position model. The record is from RNAcentral.
CGUAGGGUGCGAGCGUUAAUCGGAAUUACUGGGCGUAAAGCGUGCGCAGGCUGUUUUGUAAGUCAGAUGUGAAAUCCCCGAGCUCAACUUGGGAACUGCGUUUGAAACUACAAGACUAGAAUAUGUCAGAGGGGGGUAGAAUUCCACGUGUAGCAGUGAAAUGCGUAGAGAUGUGGAGGAAUACCAAUGGCGAAGGCAGCCCCCUGGGAUAAUAUUGACGCUCCUGCACGAAAGCGUGGGGAGCAAACAGGAUUAGAUACCCUGGUAGUCCACGCCCUAAACGAUGUCUACUAGUUGUUGGUGGAGUAAAAUCCAUGAGUAACGCAGCUAACGCGUGAAGUAGACCGCCUGGAGAGUACGGUCGCAAGAUUA